CUGAUUAUAGCUGGAUAUAUCAACGGAACAAUGAUAAUAGAGUGGGUAUUAGGGGGAAUUUUUGAAGGUGUCAAAAGAUUUGUUUAACAAGCUAAGACACUCGAUAUGUGGACACAUUAUUGAGUUAUUUGUUGUCCUUGUGUUAGAUGUGAUGGUAUAAAUCUUGAAAGUGAAGAAGAUGUGAAGGAACAUCUUUACAAAAAGGGGACAAGGACUUUUU
This 220-nucleotide long non-coding RNA is filed under the name Capsicum annuum. RNAcentral's name for it is "long non-coding RNA (CANN_LNC022335)". Lineage: Eukaryota; Viridiplantae; Streptophyta; Magnoliopsida; Solanales; Solanaceae. The record is from RNAcentral.